This 152-nucleotide ribosomal RNA is filed under the name uncultured bacterium. Its description in RNAcentral is "partial 16S ribosomal RNA". It matches the Rfam family "Bacterial small subunit ribosomal RNA", at positions 356 to 504 of the family's 1533-position model. The record is from RNAcentral.
GAGGAAUAUUGGUCAAUGGGCUUACGCCUGAACCAGCCAAGUCGCGUGAGGGAAGACUGCCCUAUGGGUUGUAAACCUCUUUUGUCAGGGAGCAAUUGGCGCUACGUGUAGCGUUAUCGAGAGUACCUGAAGAAAAAGCAUCGGCUAACUCC